GAUGAACGCUAGCUACAGGCUUAACACAUGCAAGUCGAGGGGCAGCAUGAACUUAGCUUGCUAAGUUUGAUGGCGACCGGCGCACGGGUGAGUAACACGUAUCCAACCUUCCGUUUACUCAGGGAUAGCCUUUCGAAAGAAAGAUUAAUACCUGAUAGUAUGGUGAGAUUGCAUGAUAGCACCAUUAAAGAUUUAUUGGUAAACGAUGGGGAUGCGUUCCAUUAGGUAGUAGGCGGGGUAACGGCCCACCUAGCCGACGAUGGAUAGGGGUUCUGAGAGGAAGGUCCCCCCANAUUGGAACUGAGACACGGUCCAAACUCCUACGGGAGCAGCAGUGAGGAAUAUUGGUCAAUGGACAGAGUCUGAACCAGCCAAGUAGCGUGCAGGAUGACGGCCCUAUGGGUUGUAAACUGCUUUUAUAAGGGAUAAAGUGAGUCUCGUGAGACUUUUUGCAUGUACCUUAUGAAUAAGGACCGG
RNAcentral lists this ribosomal RNA (477 nucleotides) under uncultured bacterium. RNAcentral describes it as "bacterial SSU rRNA". It matches the Rfam family "Bacterial small subunit ribosomal RNA", at positions 28 to 496 of the family's 1533-position model. The record is from RNAcentral.